RNAcentral lists this long non-coding RNA (321 nucleotides) under Vulpes vulpes (red fox). RNAcentral's name for it is "lncRNA (ENSVVUG00000022290.1)". The record is from RNAcentral. Lineage: Eukaryota; Metazoa; Chordata; Mammalia; Carnivora; Canidae.
CUGAACCUGAGUCUUCUCAUCUGUGAAAUGAUCUCCUUAACAGCAUUGAAAGCAUCGGUACUGAAGGGCGAUGCCCACCAGGAGGAACAGCAAUGCUCUUGAAACUAUUUGCUCCCUUUGGACCUUGAUGUGGGUAGUAUCUCUGCUCCUCCCCCCCAACACCCUGCCAACACAUUUAUAAAAUGGCCUUUAUUCAGUCCCCCCUCAUUGGUUUGGCCAUGGCUAUCCCAUGGAAACUGGUGUUGUCAACUUUGUCAACAACUUGAAGUCAGGCUGGCCAUGAAAUGUGUUCAAAGGUUCCUGUCGGGAACAGAAGCUGCC